UACGUAGGGUGCAAGCGUUGUCCGGAUUUAUUGGGCGUAAAGAGCUCGUAGGCGGUUUGUCGCGUCGGAUGUGAAAACCCAGGGCUCAACCCUGGGCCUGCAUUCGAUACGGGCAGACUAGAGUAUGGCAGGGGAGACUGGAAUUCCUGGUGUAGCGGUGAAAUGCGCAGAUAUCAGGAGGAACACCAAUAGCGAAGGCAGCUCGCUGGGACGGUACUGACGCUAAGGCGCGAAAGCGUGGGGAGCGAACAGG
RNAcentral lists this ribosomal RNA (253 nucleotides) under uncultured bacterium. Its description in RNAcentral is "partial 16S ribosomal RNA". It matches the Rfam family "Bacterial small subunit ribosomal RNA", at positions 524 to 776 of the family's 1533-position model. The record is from RNAcentral.